Amblyraja radiata (thorny skate) is the source of this 201-nucleotide long non-coding RNA. RefSeq lists it as uncharacterized. The record is from RefSeq and is a predicted model, not a curated record. The transcript has 3 exons. NCBI's taxonomy places the organism in Eukaryota, Metazoa, Chordata, Chondrichthyes, Rajiformes, Rajidae.
UCUAUGUCCUCUGGUCCUCAAUUCCCCUACUCUGGGCAAGAGACUCUGUGCAUCUACCCGACCUAUUCCUUUCAUGAUUUUAUACCCCUCUAUAAGAUCACCCCUCAUCCUCCUGAGCCACAAGGAAUAGGGUCCCAGCCUACUCGACGUCUGCCUGUAGAUCAGACCCUCUAUUCCUGGCAAAAUGAGUAGGCCAUUCGG